AUUGAACGCUGGCGGCAUGCCUUACACAUGCAAGUCGAACGGCAGCACGGGAGCAAUCCUGGUGGCGAGUGACGAACGGGUGAGUAAUAUAUCGGAACGUGCCCAGUCGUGGGGAUAACGUAGCGAAAGCUACGCUAAUACCGCAUACGAUCUAUGGAUGAAAGCGGGGGAUCGCAAGACCUCGCGCGAUUGGAGCGGCCGAUAUCAGAUUAGGUAGUUGGUGAGGUAAAGGCUCACCAAGCCGACGAUCUGUAGCUGGUCUGAGAGGACGACCAGCCACACUGGGACUGAGACACGGCCCAGACUCCUACGGGAGGCAGCAGUGGGGAAUUUUUGGACAAUGGGCGCAAGCCUGAUCCAGCAAUGCCGCGUGCAGGAUGAAGGCCUU
RNAcentral lists this ribosomal RNA (388 nucleotides) under uncultured bacterium. RNAcentral's name for it is "bacterial SSU rRNA". It matches the Rfam family "Bacterial small subunit ribosomal RNA", at positions 30 to 418 of the family's 1533-position model. The record is from RNAcentral.